UACGUAGGGUGCGAGCGUUGUCCGGAAUUAUUGGGCGUAAAGAGCUCGUAGGCGGUCUGUCGCGUCGGCUGUGAAAACUCGGGGCUCAACCCCGAGCCUGCAGUCGAUACGGGCAGACUAGAGUGCUGUAGGGGAGACUGGAAUUCCUGGUGUAGCGGUGAAAUGCGCAGAUAGUCAGGAGGAACACCGGUGGCGAAGGCGGCGAUCUGGGUCGAUACUGACGCUGAGGUGCGAAAGCGUGGGGAGCAAACAGG
RNAcentral lists this ribosomal RNA (254 nucleotides) under uncultured bacterium. RNAcentral's name for it is "partial 16S ribosomal RNA". It matches the Rfam family "Bacterial small subunit ribosomal RNA", at positions 524 to 776 of the family's 1533-position model. The record is from RNAcentral.